Molecule: ribosomal RNA, 260 nt
Filed under: uncultured archaeon
Lineage: Archaea
Description: partial 16S ribosomal RNA
Rfam family: Archaeal small subunit ribosomal RNA
Source: RNAcentral
AGGGUGUAAACGCUGCGGGCUUGGUGUUGGGGGUCCUUUGAGGGCGCCCAGUGCCGGAGAGAAGUUGUUAAGCCUGCUGCUUGGGGAGUACGUCCGCAAGGAUGAAACUUAAAGGAAUUGGCGGGGGAACACCACAAGAGGUGGAGGCUGCGGUUCAAUUGGACUCAACGCCGGAAACUCAUCGGGAGCGACAGCAGUAUGAUUGCCAGGUUGAUGACCUUGCUUGACAAGCUGAGAGGUGGUGCAUGGCGUAGUCGUGU